Molecule: transfer RNA, 87 nt
Filed under: Chloroflexota bacterium
Lineage: Bacteria; Bacillati; Chloroflexota
Also listed under: 1 other name
Description: Chloroflexi bacterium tRNA-Ser
Rfam family: tRNA
About the family: Transfer RNA (tRNA) molecules are approximately 80 nucleotides in length. Their secondary structure includes four short double-helical elements and three loops (D, anti-codon, and T loops).
Source: RNAcentral
GGAGAGGUGCCAGAGUGGUCGAAUGGGACGCACUCGAAAUGCGUUGUGGCAGUGAUGUCACCGUGGGUUCGAAUCCCACCCUCUCCG